UACAGAGGGUGCAAGCGUUGUUCGGAAUUAUUGGGCGUAAAGCGCGUGUAGGCGGCUUUGCAAGUCGGGUGUGAAAGCCCUCAGCUCAACUGAGGAAGUGCGCCCGAAACUGCAGAGCUUGAGUACCGGAGAGGAUGGCGGAAUUCCCCAAGUAGAGGUGAAAUUCGUAGAUAUGGGGAGGAACACCGGUGGCGAAGGCGGCCAUCUGGACCGGAAUUGACGCUGAGGAGCGAAAGCCAGGGGAGCAAACGGG
This 253-nucleotide ribosomal RNA is filed under the name uncultured bacterium. RNAcentral describes it as "partial 16S ribosomal RNA". It matches the Rfam family "Bacterial small subunit ribosomal RNA", at positions 524 to 776 of the family's 1533-position model. The record is from RNAcentral.